AAUAUAUACGCAGUUCACUGCACGACAAACAAGCGAACACUACACUCACACUCCACUACACAUCGCAACGAGACGAGUCAGCUGGACUGCAGGAGCGUAUAUACAGUUGGCAACAAAUUUCCUAGGAGCAUAAUAAACAACGCCAUCGACGCCAUUUUAUUCAUACUGUUUCUUGAGAUCAUUGUGAAAGGAGGCAUUUUUUUGGAAUUGUAAAAUUAAUUAUUCAAUCUGAUAAUUUGAAGGAGGAAUUGAAUUAAAUAAUGAAAUUUAUAAGGAUUUUUGUGCCAAACUAUCUUUUAAUUAAAAUUGAGAUUCCCAGGAUAUUAGUGCCAAUUACAUUCAAAGUUUAGUUUCAUUCUCUCUGGAGGAUAACAUAACCUGAAACUAAAAAAAUGGUUUUUAACGCAAACAAAAAUAUUAGUUAAAUUAUUUUCAAUCAAUUUUUGAAGAAAAAAAUUUCCAAAAAAAUGGUUAUCAGAAAAAGAGAAGGUGCAAGAUGAACCAAACAAGUUGCAGAUAAUUAUUUUUGGUCUGAAUAUCUCGAGAUGCAAUUACUUUGUCAUUGCACUUAACCCAAAAAAAUAUUUUUAUUAAUAUACGGUGGAUUUCACAUAAAGAGAU
Long non-coding RNA from Leptopilina boulardi, 621 nucleotides. RefSeq lists it as uncharacterized. The record is from RefSeq and is a predicted model, not a curated record. The transcript has 4 exons. NCBI's taxonomy places the organism in Eukaryota, Metazoa, Arthropoda, Insecta, Hymenoptera, Figitidae.